CAAGAUGGUCUCACUUGGUUUAAAGAGUAAGAGGACGGCGAAGUUAAUUCCUACCGCCGUGCCGUCUGUGCAUGCAAACCACUCUGCCUGCCCUGUCCCGAGGUCGAGAGACACCGUCUGCCGCAAGCGAGAGAUUGCCACGAUGUUGACAGACGCCUCACAGCAGGAGACCGUGGCCAGUGUAGACACUGUGGAGAGUGUCGAUACUGGGGAUCAGCCCUUGCCCUCCUCCACUUCUGACGCUGGGACACAAUGUUAUUUGAAGCCCCCCCGAUGGUCUCACGGUAAAUCUUUGGUAUUUUAAGGGGUAGAUAUUAUGUCUAAAACAUUGCAAGUAGGACAUUUCCAUACACAUUGAUGAAAUGAAUACAUAGCCUACACCAAAACAUAGCCGCUUAGAUUUGCCAUGAUUGUCAUAUGUUUGGGUAUGUUUACUGCCUCUGCCACAGCUGUGCAGGUUAACCUGAAGCCCAAGAUGGUUAGCGUGGGCACACAGACUUCAAUCAGCCCACAAACCUCCACUCCCCUCGCUAGUCCUGAACAGACAGUUGACGACGAUGAUGAUGAUAAUGCCACUGUCAUCAGUGACUUGUCGUGGGUGCCCGAAGAGCCGAUGGAUGAGGAGGAAUUGUUUGAUGAGGAGCCACCUUACACGUGUGACCCCCACCACAAUUGCAUUGACAAAUUCAUUGUUUGCCAAGAGGAGCUGAUGGGCCUUUUUGCCAUCUGUCCGGCCUGUUGUGAGAGGUCGGAUAGUAGCAUCGUGCAGCAGGAAGGAACUUUUGUUAAGAUCAAGCAGGU
RNA transcript from Gadus macrocephalus (Pacific cod), 801 nucleotides. It is a transcript of the gene named THAP domain-containing protein 10-like, with no coding region annotated. The record is from RefSeq and is a predicted model, not a curated record. The transcript is spliced from 3 exons. Lineage: Eukaryota; Metazoa; Chordata; Actinopteri; Gadiformes; Gadidae.